This 72-nucleotide transfer RNA is filed under the name Elusimicrobiota bacterium. RNAcentral describes it as "tRNA-Glu". It matches the Rfam family "tRNA". Rfam says of the family: Transfer RNA (tRNA) molecules are approximately 80 nucleotides in length. Their secondary structure includes four short double-helical elements and three loops (D, anti-codon, and T loops). Further hydrogen bonds mediate the characteristic L-shaped molecular structure. tRNAs have two regions of fundamental functional importance: the anti-codon, which is responsible for specific mRNA codon recognition, and the 3' end, to which the tRNAs corresponding amino acid is attached (by aminoacyl-tRNA synthetases). tRNAs cope with the degeneracy of the genetic code in two manners: having more than one tRNA (with a specific anti-codon) for a particular amino acid; and 'wobble' base-pairing, i.e. permitting non-standard base-pairing at the 3rd anti-codon position. The record is from RNAcentral. Lineage: Bacteria; Pseudomonadati; Elusimicrobiota.
GCCUCCAUAGACUAGCGGUUAGGUCACCGCCCUUUCACGGCGGCAGCGGGGGUUCAAGUCCCCCUGGAGGUA